Molecule: long non-coding RNA, 1395 nt
Organism: Ahaetulla prasina
Lineage: Eukaryota; Metazoa; Chordata; Lepidosauria; Squamata; Colubridae
Exons: 5
Source: RefSeq, a predicted model, not a curated record
AAUUGAAUUAAGCAUCUUUUCCUUCUUUGGUAGGUGGGAUAGGAGUAUAGAUGAGAAGAACGUGGCAACAGGAUUCUUCCAAUGAUGUUAGCACUGGGCACAGACUACUAUGAUGAUAACAGUGCCUCCCUUGCCUUUGACAUCUUGGGGGACUGAGGAACAGAAUCCUGGCCUGCCUGUUAAAAUUUGUGACUGAGGAAGAAGUUCUUGGGAGUGUUUGAUUGCUGGUAGUGACUGCCAUGUUAGGGAAACACUGGUGCAGGAAGUCCUCAACUUAACAAUUUGUUUAGUGACUGUUCAAAGUUACAACGGCACUGAAAAAGUGACUUACGAUUGUUUUUCAUGCUUACGAUCAUUGCAGCAUCCCCAUGGUCACAUGAUCAGAAUUCAGACACGUGGCAACUGACUCGCACUUAUGACGGUUGCAAUGUUCCCAAUGUGAUCUUCUGAAAGUAUUGUGACCUGACAAGCAAAGUCAGUGGGGAAGCCACAGAUUCAUUUAACAACCAUUACUAACUUAACUGCAGUGAUUCACUUAACUAUGGCAAGGAAGAUCGUAAAAUGAGGCAAAAGUUACUUAAAUGUUUCACUUAGCAACAGAAAUGUUGGGUUCAAUUUGGGUCAUAAAUUGAGGACUACCUGUAUUUGCCAUAACAGAUUGUGCAGAUGUGAUUAUACCAGAUCCUGGAAACAGGAAAUUACUAGCAAACCAAAAGCAACUCCAGAUGUUUCUGCAAAUGGAAGACAUGAGGCCAUUCUACAUGUGGAAUGGUUGAAGUUUCUGGACACCAAAUAAAUGAAGAGACCUCCUUUCCAAAAUGCAGCCUGCCUCAGACUUAAUUCUUUGCCUGCGUUCUUCUCCUGGCUUGGAAUAAGAAAUAAACCAGAUUUAACCUCCAGCAGAACCUUACAAAGGGAAGAAUUGGCAGAACAGAGGGAGAUGAUCUGCCCUUCGCCUCCUGGAAUGGUGGUUCCUCCUUUUCCUAGUAUUUCUUCUCCAAGUGUCUUUUGCUUUUGAGAGACUGAGAAUCUCAUAGUGGAAGGUGAAAUGUUACACAGUAUCUGGCAGGCUUAAUGUGAGCCAGGCUCUUCUGGAAUGUAUGCAAUGUAGCCUACUAGGACCCUUAAAAGGCUGUUGCCUGUCCACAUUUUAACGAGAGCAUCGAGGAAGCCUGCGUGGAGGACCUUCUUCCCCAAGAAGAAACGCAAUUCAGAAAUUUUCCUGGAUCCAAUAUUUGCAAUAGGAGGGAUUUGGCAUUGUUUAUCCAUUAAAUCCCUUAUUCUGUUUUUCGUGCAGAAGUGAGAGGCUUACUUAUCAGAUCCUGAUUAGAAAGCAGUGGGAGGUUUACUUACUUACUCUCUUACUCAAUAAACAUUUCAUUAAUUGGUGAAUAA